RNAcentral lists this long non-coding RNA (1338 nucleotides) under Ictidomys tridecemlineatus (thirteen-lined ground squirrel). Its description in RNAcentral is "lncRNA (ENSSTOG00000033537.1)". Lineage: Eukaryota; Metazoa; Chordata; Mammalia; Rodentia; Sciuridae. The record is from RNAcentral.
AUGAACCUAUGGAAAUGAAACCUCUGGAAAUUAAUCCAUCAUGUCCAGCAGAAGAAAAUGAUGUAUCUGUCCUGAUUCCUGUGGGGGACCAACUACCAGAAGCCCGUCUUUCCACUGAUGUUCCAGGAAAAAAGGGUUCCAAUCCAAAUCACAGCUUUCCACCAGAAACCACGGGGAUUUUUCAAGACAACAGAUUUGGACAUUUGGACAUCAGUGAUAAAUUGAGUACUGACCUCUUCCAGGACAAAAGUGAGGAGGCUUCCCUUAACCUAGUGUUUGAGCUGGAGGCUUGCUGAAGAGUAAAAGAAGAUGAGGCUCCUCUGGAGAAGGGUCAGUGCAGCAGGAACGUGGCAAGCUCCAUCCACCCAGGGCCACCUCCAGCCAGUCUACCUCUCGGUUGACUCCUGCACUGCUUGCAGAAACUGGGACUGGGACCAGGGCCUUGCCUGCUAAGGAAGAUGGAGAGAGAUCCUUUAAAACAAGGUUUCAUGUGUAUAUCCUCAAGUCUUGUGUUUCUUCUGAUUGAUUCUGGUUAUUCCAGAAUUUCUGCAUAUCUGUUCCAUAAGCAGAUUCACAAGUAUUCAUGGAGAAGAUCAUUGAAGGCCACCUGGGACACAUCUUAGAAAAUGAGUGAGUUCCUGGAUCUUUUGUCAAAAUAUUUCUCAGUUUCCAAAACUGCAUAGAUACUUUAACAUACACUGUGAUUGGUGUUUCUCAAAGUUCAUCUUGCCUGACUGAUCUGAGGUCAGUUGGAAUUUGAACACAGAUAGCAAACAAGAUAUUUUUCUUCCAUAUAUACAUAUUUUUUAAAGGGUAAUUUUCAUUGCAGAAAUAUUUUGCAUACGUUAUAUCAUUUGCAUAAGAUUUAAGAGUGGCUUUAUAAUGAAUAUAAACCUUUAUCUUAAUGGUUCUUACAAUAAUGUAAAAGAAAAAUGCUAACUUACACAUUGUUAUAAUUCUUUUAUAUCUACAGCCUUUUCUAUAUUCCCAAUUGUUUAAGAAAACUAUUUCAAGAACAAAUCUUCUCUCUGGAAAAUUGCCAUUUUCCAUUUGUUAGGAAUUUUUAUAGAAGAAUACCAAUAUAUGUCCUUUCUUUUACUAUGGAAUAUGUGCUGGAAAAAUUACAGCAAACCAUUACUACCUAAUGAAUAAUACUUGUAUAUCUUCUAGAAUUUGUAAACAUAUUGUGCAAUUCUGUAUAGCUUGAGUAACCCACAGGUUGGUUUACAUUAAAUUUUUAAAUGGGAUGUCAUAUGGAAAACAAUUUCAGGACAGUUUUUAAAAUAAAAUGAGUAUUAUUUUUUCUGUCUGGAAAAAAUGAAGAGUAAUUUUCUUGGC